CAGCCACCCCGUUGGACCAUUAGGUGACCUUGAGUAAAGUGGCCGACUGCAAAGGAGAGUGGAAGCGGACAAGAUCCCACGGAAUCAGCAUACCAGCUCAGAUACUCAGUCAUUCCAUAAACAGCCUUCCCUGACUUACCCAAGCUGGACCAGGACCCCUCCAGAAACCCGCAGGCCCCAGGCUUCUCCUUUCUCAGUGUGCCAGUGUCCGUCUCCUCCCCCGGUCCAUCUACCCCUUCAGGGCAGGGACGAAGUACUGGACCUUCUACAACCCCAUGUGAAGGCUCUCUGGCCGGAGGACUGCCUGCUCAGGACGUAGCACAAUGCCCGGCUUCCCGUCCAGCAUGGAACCCAAUGUGGGGCUUGAAUUCAUGACCCUGAGAUCAAGACCUGAGCUGAGAUCAAGAGUCAGAUGCUUAACCGACAGAGCCACCCAGGCGCCCCUCAAAUCACGUUUGAGGUACACUAGUGAGGUUCAGUAUGUAAAGGAAACCUGUUAGGAAAUCUUUUAUAAAGCAAGUUCAUUGAA
This is a long non-coding RNA of Herpailurus yagouaroundi (jaguarundi), 529 nucleotides long. RefSeq lists it as uncharacterized. The transcript is spliced from 3 exons. NCBI's taxonomy places the organism in Eukaryota, Metazoa, Chordata, Mammalia, Carnivora, Felidae. The record is from RefSeq and is a predicted model, not a curated record.